CGGCGGACGGGUGAGUAACGCGUGGGUAACCUGCCUCAUACAGGGGGAUAACAGUUAGAAAUGACUGCUAAUACCGCAUAAGCACACAGUACCGCAUGGUACAGUGUGAAAAACUCCGGUGGUAUGAGAUGGACCCGCGUCUGAUUAGCUGGUUGGCGGGGUAACGGCCCACCAAGGCGACGAUCAGUAGCCGACCUGAGAGGGUGACCGGCCACAUUGGGACUGAGACACGGCCCAA
Molecule: ribosomal RNA, 238 nt
Filed under: uncultured bacterium
Lineage: Bacteria
Description: partial 16S ribosomal RNA
Rfam family: Bacterial small subunit ribosomal RNA
Source: RNAcentral